Oncorhynchus keta (chum salmon) is the source of this 1562-nucleotide long non-coding RNA. RefSeq lists it as uncharacterized. The transcript has 4 exons. The record is from RefSeq and is a predicted model, not a curated record. Lineage: Eukaryota; Metazoa; Chordata; Actinopteri; Salmoniformes; Salmonidae.
ACUGCCUUGUUCAGGGAACAGUGGGUUAACUGCCUUGUUCAGGGGAACAGUAGGUUAACUGCCUUGUUCAGGGGAACAGUGGGUUAACUGCCACGCUCAGGGGAACAGUGGGUUAACUGCCACGCUCAGGGGAACAGUGGGUUAACUGCCUUGUUCAGGGGAACAGUGGGUUAACUGCCUUGUUCAGGGGAACAGUGGGUUAACUGCCACGCUCAGGGGAACAGUGGGUUAACUGCCUUGUUCAGGGGAACAGUGGGUUAACUGCCUUGUUCAGGGGAAUAGUGGGUUAACUGCCUUCUCCCAGGUGAGUCAGUCUACAGGUAGAGAUAGAGGUCUCUUCUCCAGGUGAGUUAUCUACAGGUAGAGAUAGAGGUCUCUUCUCCAGGUGAGUCAGUCUACAGGUAGAGAUAGAGGUGUCUUCUCCAGGUGAGUCAGUCUACAGGUAGAGAUAGAGGUCUCUUCUCCAGGUGAGUCAGUCUACAGGUAGAGAUAGAGGUGUCUUCUCCAGGUGAGUCAGUCUACAGGUAGAGAUAGAGGUCUCUUCUCCAGGUGAGUCAGUCUACAGGUAGAGAUAGAGGUGUCUUCUCCAGGUGAGUCAGUCUACAGGUAGAGAUAGAGGUCUCUUCUCCAGGUGAGUCAGUCUACAGGUAGAGAUAGAGGUGUCUUCUCCAGGUGAGUCAGUCUACAGGUAGAGAUAGAGGUCUCUUCUCCAGGUGAGUCAGUCUACAGGUAGAGAUAGAGGUCUCUUCUCCAGGUGAGUCAGUCUACAGGUAGAGAUAGAGGUGUCUUCUCCAGGUGAGUCAGUCUACAGGUAGAGAUAGAGGUCUCUUCUCCAGGUGAGUCAGUCUACAGGUAGAGAUAGAGGUGUCUUCUCCAGGUGAGUCAGUCUACAGGUAGAGAUAGAGGUCUCUUCUCCAGGUGAGUCAGUCUACAGGUAGAGAUAGAGGUGUCUUCUCCAGGUGAGUCAGUCUACAGGUAGAGAUAGAGGUCUCUUCUCCAGGUGAGUCAGUCUACAGGUAGAGAUAGAGGUGUCUUCUCCAGGUGAGUCAGUCUACAGGUAGAGAUAGAGGUCUCUUCUCCAGGUGAGUCAGUCUACAGGUAGAGAUAGAGGUGUCUUCUCCAGGUGAGUCAGUCUACAGGUAGAGAUAGAGGUCUCUUCUCCAGGUGAGUCAGUCUACAGGUAGAGAUAGAGGUCUCUUUUCCAGGUGACUCCUCCUCCUCUCCAUCAGGGGAAGAUGGAGCUGAUGGGGCAGUGGUUGAGUCUUUAUUUUCUUUCCCUCCUUCCCUCACUCUCUCACUCUCUCCUUCCCUCACUUCUUCCCUCACUCCUUCCCUCACUCCUUUCCUAACUCCCUCUGACACAAGUACAAUCUUGCUUUAGCUGCUGCUGCUAUCGACUUCGAUGACGAUGACGGUGAGGAAGAUGGCAGGGCUGUACGGAGUGCUUGGCAGGCCAGUCCCUCUCCACAGUCACAGCGUUGGAACAGCUCCUGUCCUUUCCUGCCGUGCCGCGUACACACCUCCCCGUGCCUCAGCACGGGCUUACAGAUCCUGUCCCAGAA